Molecule: ribosomal RNA, 756 nt
Filed under: uncultured bacterium
Lineage: Bacteria
Description: bacterial SSU rRNA
Rfam family: Bacterial small subunit ribosomal RNA
Source: RNAcentral
UUCGAGCGAGAACCAGGCCUUCGGGCUUGGGGAAAGCGGCGAACGGGUGAGUAACACGUGGGUAACCCACCCUUGGUUCUGGGAUAGCCCGGGGAAACCCGGAUUAAUACCGGAUGGCCCAACAGCUCUUCGGGGCGGUUGGAAAAGGUAGCUUCGGCCUCCGACCAAGGACGGGCCCGCGGCGGAUUAGCUUGUUGGUGAGGUAACGGCUCACCAAGGCGACGAUCCGUAGCUGGUCUGAGAGGACGAUCAGCCACACUGGGACUGAGACACGGCCCAGACUCCUACGGGAGGCAGCAGUGGGGAAUCUUGCGCAAUGGGCGAAAGCCUGACGCAGCGACGCCGCGUGGGGGAAGAAGGCUUUCGGGUUGUAAACCCCUUUCAGGAAGGACGAAGCCACUCGGGUGAAUAGCCCAGAGGGUGACGGUACUUCCAGAAGAAGCCCCGGCUAACUACGUGCCAGCAGCCGCGGUAAUACGUAGGGGGCAAGCGUUGUCCGGAUUUAUUGGGCGUAAAGAGCGUGUAGGCGGUCAGGUAGGUCCGUUGUGAAAACUCGAGGCUCAACCUCGAGACGCCGAUGGAAACCAUCUGACUAGAGUCCGGAAGAGGAGAGUGGAAUUCCUGGUGUAGCGGUGAAAUGCGCAGAUAUCAGGAAGAACACCCGUGGCUAAGGCGGCUCUCUAGUACGGUACUGACGCUGAGACGCGAAAGCGUGGGGAGCGAACAGGAUUAGAUACCCUGGUAGUCCACGCCGUA